GGUCCAGAGUUGCGGCGGGUUUCACAUGGCCCCGGGACGUCAUCGCCGCACGGCAACCGCGGUUCGAGCCUCGGUGCCCUCCCGGGAAGACCGGCCACCGCCGGCAUCUCCGGCGGUCGGAAGAACUCGAC
This 131-nucleotide non-coding RNA is filed under the name Corynebacterium freneyi. RNAcentral describes it as "SAM-IV sequence". It matches the Rfam family "SAM (S-adenosyl methionine) riboswitch aptamer". Rfam says of the family: SAM-IV is a mRNA element that regulates gene expression via direct sensing of S-adenosylmethionine (SAM or AdoMet). SAM-IV riboswitches share conserved nucleotide positions with the previously described SAM-I riboswitches sequence analysis and molecular recognition experiments suggest that SAM-I and SAM-IV riboswitches share similar ligand binding sites, but have different scaffolds. RNAcentral also lists the same sequence under 1 other name. Lineage: Bacteria; Bacillati; Actinomycetota; Actinomycetes; Mycobacteriales; Corynebacteriaceae. The record is from RNAcentral.